RNAcentral lists this ribosomal RNA (492 nucleotides) under uncultured bacterium. RNAcentral describes it as "partial 16S ribosomal RNA". It matches the Rfam family "Bacterial small subunit ribosomal RNA", at positions 29 to 507 of the family's 1533-position model. The record is from RNAcentral.
AGUGAACGCUGGCGGUAGGCCUAACACAUGCAAGUCGAACGGCAGCACAGUAAGAGCUUGCUCUUACGGGUGGCGAGUGGCGGACGGGUGAGGAAUACAUCGGAAUCUACUUUUUCGUGGGGGAUAACGUAGGGAAACUUACGCUAGUACCGCACACGACCUACGGGUGAAAGCAGGGGAUCUUCGGACCUUGCGCGAUUGAAUGAGCCGAUGUCGGAUUAGCUAGUUGGCGGGGUAAAGGCCCACCAAGGCGACGAUCCGUAGCUGGUCUGAGAGGAUGAUCAGCCACACUGGAACUGAGACACGGUCCAGACUCCUACGGGAGGCAGCAGUGGGGAAUAUUGGACAAUGGGCGCAAGCCUGAUCCAGCCAUACCGCGUGGGUGAAGAAGGCCUUCGGGUUGUAAAGCCCUUUUGUUGGGAAAGAAAAGCAGCAGGUUAAUACCCCGCUGUUCUGACGGUACCCAAAGAAUAAGCACCGGCUAACUUCGUG